ACUCAAAUGAAUUGACGGGGACCCGCACAAGCGGUGGAGUAUGUGGUUUAAUUCGACGCUACGCGAAAAACCUUACCAACUCUUGACAUAUCGAUUAUGAGAGGCAGAGACGCUUCUCUUCAGUUCGGCUGGGUCGAUACAGGUGUUGCAUGGCUGUCGUCAGCUCGUGUCGUGAGAUGUUGGGUUAAGUCCCGCAACGAGCGCAACCCUUAUCCUUAGUUACCAGCGAAUAAUGUCGGGCACUCUAAGGAAACUGCCGGCGACAAGCCGGAGGAAGGUGAGGACGAUGUCAAGUCAUCAUGGCCCUUACGAGUUGGGCUACACACGUACUACAAUGGCGGUGACAACGGGAAGCAAAAGGGCAACCUUGAGCAAAUCCUUUAAAAGCCGUCUCAGUUCGGAUUGAGGUCUGCAACUCGACCUCAUGAAGUCGGAAUCGCUAGUAAUCGCGGAUCAGCAUGUCGCGGUGAAUACGUUCACGGGUCUUGUACACACCGCCCGU
This 502-nucleotide ribosomal RNA is filed under the name uncultured bacterium. Its description in RNAcentral is "partial 16S ribosomal RNA". It matches the Rfam family "Bacterial small subunit ribosomal RNA", at positions 899 to 1397 of the family's 1533-position model. The record is from RNAcentral.